GCAGCAGCGUUCCUGCCCCGGCGGGGUGGACUCCUGAUUUUAGGCGGAGGGGAAAACGCCCCCCGACCGCCGCCGCACUUGCAACUUCAGAAACAGAAGUUGAGGGCCCUGGGGCGUGCGAGGCAGAGAGGAAAACUCCCUCUCGCCCUUCCUCGGUCAGUCCGCAUGGCCCUCCCCCCGUGCCCUGCCUUGCCUCCAGCCUCGUUUCCAUGUUCUCACCGGGCGGAUUUGGGCUCUGAAAGGGAGAGGAGAAGAAUGGGAGGGAAGGAGCAGGGCCGUGCCAGCUCCCUGCAGCAGUGUAGUAGCUUGGAAAUGGCGGGGUCAACGAAAACAGCUCGAGUAAGGACUGUGAUGGGAACUUUGCCCAGCUGAGAAGCAGAAGCAAGAUGAGUAAUCUACCAAAACAUGAGCAGGGAAGAACUGAUCCAAGUAUAUGACUGAAAGGAAGUGGAAGAAUUCUGCUGCCAUUGAUCCAGCAUCGAAUUCGGUUCAUUACAAGGACUAUGCAACAAUGAUGUGAUGCCUUCUACGCCAAGCACGAGGGGAGAGAGAUGAAGGCCAGGACAGAGCAGCAUCCUGCUUUUUCAUGCCUGCAUUUUCAAGACGCAGCCUUUUAACCUGAAACAUCGGUUCUGCACCUUAAGAAGUCUUCAGGUAAACAAAUUCUGGUACUUUUCAAAAACUCUGCAUGCUUGGCUGUGCCGGCUUUGCCCUGUGUUCUUAUUCUUCACAUGAAAUACCCCUGGGCUUUGUAACAUUUGUUAUUUAGGAAGCAAGUCUAAAGAUUUUGUUACCUCUUGAGAGAGUGAAAUUAAACAACAACAUCAACAACUUUCACUUUGGAAGGACGAAAUUUGCAGGCUAGUCUCUAUAACCAUGAAGUUGCCAUGUCAGCAAAAGCCCUUUGUUCACCACAGGAAGCAAUCUGGUCAGAACAACUUCCUUUCUGGCAGUUCAAUAGAACUGUUGUUUCUGAAGCUUAUCAGAUAAACCCACUACCAGAAAUCCCCACUGGCAACAAAAUAGAAGUUUUGUUUGUUUGUUUGCUUGCUUUUUUAAAAUAGGGAACUAUAGUUCUCUCAAAGUGGCUACAUUUUAUUUUAUUUGUAUUUUCUUUGUUUAUUAAAUUAGCUUGCAUUGCUCCCUAAUUUUGAUGAUAGAAUUGAACGUGGAGAACGUUAAGUAGGUGAUGCGUUGAUUCACUGAAUUAAAACUGUAUUUGUGACUUGAAGUAACUUAGGAGAGAACGAUAAAGGACUAUUUAGAAGACAUUUGCGGCUUCCCAUCCUUCAUUUUCAGUAAGAAUAAUUGGCACGGUUAGCUAACUGUGAUGCAGUCCAUAGUCUCAGCCUUGUCUGCAGUCAGGAGUUUUUCACAUACAUAAAAUUUUUUUAAACUAUAAACUGUUUAAGUGCCUUCUUAUUUUUAAUUUAGGGAUCUUUAUCCUUUCUGUAUAACCUCUUGCUCCCUACUUCAUAUUAGAAAAAAAUUCUUCUACUCAGCAAUUAUAAGCUCCAAAAAGGCAAGGCAUGACCUUUUGGGCUAUUUAAGAAUAAUGACUUAAUCUCUCAUGGAAAAAAAAAACCCAAAAACAAAAAAACCACCUCUUCUCCGGCAUUCUUUGGGGGAGAUAACUUUCUUAUUAGAAUUCCUCAAUCCCUCCCACAUUCCCCAUUCUUUUUCCUCCCCACUGGCAGCACUGAAUUUGGCAAAAAGACAAAUCGCUAUUUCUCCCUCUUUGCUUGUCUUUAAACAACGUUUCUACCCCUUAAACUUCCUCACUGCUGGCUAUAGGGUUUCUUUCACUGGAAUGACGGUAUCUUCUGGUGUUUUCUGUUUUUUCCUUUCUCUGCUUAGUGACUCACUCGUUCUCUUUAGAUCCGGUCUUGAAACAUUCCCGGGCCUGUUUUCUUUGGACUGAGCCUGACUCCCACGCAGUCUAAUUCCCUUUACACUCCCCUUAAUGUACUUGCCAAGGUUGCAAGUGUGCUUAUUUGUAUCCUUUCUGCAUUCAAAUUUUACUUCUCUUUUUCGCCUUUAAAAAGACCACGUUUUUCUUAGAAAAGGUUACCCCGUCCAUUUCCACUCUAUUUUCCAUCCUUAGAUUAGAAAUGAAGAUGAACAGAAAAAAGGGUGGUAGAUUUUUACUGUUCAGAAUUAAGGGCUCCAAGGCUUCUGUUUUCUUUAGAGCCUUGAGAAUUCGAAGUCUCCUGAGACAUGGUGGGGAGUCUCGGGCUGUCCUUCACUCUGGUGUAUGGGGACUUGUCCUCACAAGGGACUCAGACGUGUGUAAAAAGAGGAAGCAGAUUCCCAGAGGAAGUUGCAAGACAUGGAUAUAAGAAGAGUCCCUGCGGUGGCACAGUGGGUUAGGAUCUUGUGUUGUCUUUGUGGCAGUGCGGGAUCGCUCCCUAGCUUGGUGCAGUGGAUUAAGGAUCCGGCAUUGCUGCAGCUGUGGUGUAGGUUACAGCUGUGGCUUGGAGUCCAUCCCUGACCCAGGAGAAACAAAGAGAAAAGAAUGGGAGAAGAGGGGUUCCUGGGUGGCUCAGUGGGUUGCAGAUCUGACAUUGUCACGGCUGUGGCUCAGGUUGCUGCUGUCGAGUGGGUUUGAUCCCUGGCACAGGCACAGCCAAAGUGAUGUUCAUUUAGAACAGAUGUAGAAGUUGAUAUCUAUUUUUUUUUUUUUUUGUCUUUUUGGGGCCACACCUGUGGCCCAGACUAGGGCUUGAAUUGGAGCUGCAGCUGCUGGCCUAGGCCACAGCCGCAGCAAUGCAGGAUCCGAGCCAUGUCUUCAACCUACACCACAGCUCACAGCAACACCGGACCUUGAGCCACUGAGCGAGGCCAGGGAUCGAACCUGAAUGCUCAUGGAUAAUGGCUACUAGUCAGGUUCCUUAACCACUGCACCACGACAGGAACUCCCAAAAGUUGCUAGUUUGGUCUUUGUCAUUCCUACAGCUUCAUCCCUGCUUCACUCUUCUGUGAGCAUCUCCUUCCUCUAGGCUUCCUUUGGUGCCCAGCCUGGUCCGACCACCCCUCCAUACCCGAGGAUGUGGUGUGAGAUCCCGUCGCACUGUGAUUUCCUGAGUGAAGCAACAGUAGCAAAGCUGUCUUUCUCUAGAUUCCUGCAUAAGCCCUCCCCUCCGUCUGUGCCUCUGGUAACUGAGUGCGUGAUGGGUAGGUUGGGGAGAGGGACGGCCCUCUCGAGGUUGUUAGGCUGACGUGGGGCUGACACCAGGCCAAGCACUAGCUGCACUCAUUCUGGUGGCAGGCCCUGCUGGGCUGUAAACGCGCCUUCCGCGUGAAAACAAGAUGGGAAACAUCCCAGUGACAUCGUUAGGCUUUGGUCUCAGAAGCAAAACAGGUGGUGUCUGUAGAAUUCUCUUGUCAGUAAAAUUUUGGCUGGCAUAAUGGGGACAUUUUGUCCUGUCACAUAGGUGUCUGAGAAGCGUUAGGAGUUGGAACCCGAGCUCAGGUCUGCUUGACAGGUCUGUGACCUCUGUGAUCUUAGAGGGCGUUUAACCCUUCAUCUCAUAGAUGAACAUGCUUAAGGCUCAGGGAGAUUGAAAGAUCUAUCCAAGGUCCACAGCUUGUUAGCGACAGAGCGAGAGCUGCAACCCAGGGCUGUCGGCUCUCUACUCUCCAUCUAGGGCUGCCCUACAGUUCUUCUUCUUCUUCUUCUUUAUUUUUUAGGGCCGCACCUGUGAUAUAUGGAAGUUCCCAGGCUAGAGGUCAAGUCAGAGCUGCAGCUGCUGGCCUACACCACAGCCACAGCCACGCCAGAUCCAAGCCACGUCUGCAGCCUACAUCGCAGCUCAUGGCAACACCGGAUCCCUAACCCACUGAGUGGGGCCAGGGGUCGAACCUGCAUCCUCACUCAUGCUGGUUGGUUGUUUGUAACCCCCUGAGCCACAAUAAGAACUCCUGCCCUGCGGUUCUUAAGCUUGCAGUUGCUGGCUGGCCCACGAUGCCAGGAGACAAAGACCUUUGACAUGUCUUUUUAAUACAUUGUGCUUCCUAAUGUUUUCCUGGACAUUAUGGAUAAUACUUCUUCUGUCUCUCCAUAUUCUGAAUAAAAAUAUAUAAUGUGUGUUCAUUGUGGAGAAAACUUAGAAACAAAGGAGGAAGAAAAUAAUAUUUUGUAAUCUUGUUACCUAGAAAUGACUACUAUUUACAUUUUGUUGAUUUUUUUUCCUGAUCUUUUCCACAUGUAGAUGUGUGUGUGUGUGUGUGUGUGUGUGUACGUGUGUGCACGUGCUCUUAUGCAUUUACAAAAUUAGGGUUAUAUAUUUGGUAUCAGCUGGUAUCCUUUAGUUGCAGAUAACAGAAACUGACCUAGUUUCAAAUAUAAGGAAGAAAGGAAUUUCUUGGCAAGCAACAAAGUCAAAGAAACACCCAGACCUUGGAAAAAUAGUACCCAGGAAACUCAGCUGCUUUUAUCAGAAGAGAGAAUAAAUCCUGGAUAGGCCAAAAUAGCCUUGGAUAUAGAUGUCCUAAUUUUGAAAUUUAUAGUCUCAUCUUGGAUGAAUAAGUGACUAAAUUUCUUUGAAACUGAAGUCAGUUUGUUGCCAGUUCCGAGUAAUUCUCUCUUCCAGAUCAUAUUGCAUUCAAACUUCCAACUCCCUUUCCGUCCCACCCUCCUCUGUCCCUGCAGUGGCCUCUGGGAACAGAGGAGGCUCAGGCCACUGUCCUGCUGGCAGGGGACGGUAUCUGGUCCAGUGCUUUUUGGCUUUGUCUCGCCUUGGGUGAAUUUUGCCUGUGGGUCCCUGGCCCCACUGAUCUGCUGCUGAUGUAGCAUGUCCUUUAUGUUCUGGGAACGGGGAGUGCAGCACAGAGUGAUUGCUGCCAGGAGUUUGGGCAUCUUCCCCUGCUGCUGCUGAGAGCCAACUGCCCCUGGCUUAAGUGUGGGGCCUCCUUAUCCUCUGCUGUGGUCAUCCCCCCACCAGCCACAAGCCGUCCGUGUCAUUAUUCCCAGCACCCGUCUGUUUCCCAUUCCAGGAACCAUAGGGACUGUGGGGGCCGGUGGCGCUCUCAAGCACCACCCCCAUCUCUAGUCCUGACCAGCUGCCAUUCCUGCCCCUCUGCAGCCACCCUGUGUUGCCAGUGGGUACUCUGAAAGUGGCUCCUUCUGGUUUCACGGAGGAAGUGGAACAAAAGUACUUUUCUCAGAUCUUGAAACCUAUUUGGAGCACAAGUAUCCAUCUUGUAUUUAAACCCAGGGUGGUGGACAGUCCUCUCUGGGUCUGCAGUGCUGCUGCUGCUGCUGCUGGACACCCCCAAGUGGGCUCCUUUUUCACCCUACCCAGUCUCCCAUACCCUGAGCCAGGCAUCCCCAUGCGUGGGCAUUUUCCUCACCCUGCUCAGCCUCCAGCACCCCUGCCAGGCCUUCCUCUUAUUAUAGCUGCUCAUAUUCCCUAUCCUGCUGCAAAUGCCUGUCCUGCUGUUCUCCACCAAAUGGCUUUUUUGACUUAGAUGUUCUGGAAAAGAAGGGAGGAGAAAGAGGAAAGGAACAGCCAGAUCCCUCUAGAUCUCCACGGUUGCAUUGUUUACAAUUACCUCUGUAAUUCAUGGAAUAUGGUAUGAUUUAAAGAUAAUUUUACUUAUAUCAAGCCAUUAUUUACCAAAUAAUUAUUUAUAUUCCCAUAUAAAUAUUUUUUAUUCGUAUAAUAUAUAGUAUUCAAACAAAUGACAACUUUCAUUUUAUUUUAUUAUAUUUUUUACAUUUGUAAAAUGGCCUCAUCUGUGGCAUGUGGAAGUUCCCAGGCAAGGGAUCAAACCUGCCCUACCAUUGCAACCUGCACUAGCUGCAGCAACGUGCCGGAUCCGUAACCUGCUAUAACACAAGGGAACUUCUGACAAUAUUUACUUUUGAAGAAAGUGGUAGAGGAGUUCCCUGAUGGCCUAGCAGUUAAGGAUCUGGCACUGUCACACUGCUACAGCUUGGAUAAUUUCUGCUGUACAACAGUGAUUCAGUUAUAUAUAUAUAUAUACAGACAUCCAUCCACUCUUUUUCAGAUUCUUCUCCCGUAUAGAUUAUCACAGAGUAUAUGUUUUAGACUUUUGAAAGCUUCUUCUGGAAUUUGUUGGCUUUGGCUGAAACAUCUCAGGUGCUCGCUCCUUCUUCUUCUUCUUCAUUAUCUUCUUCUUCUUUUGCUUUUCAGGGCUGUGCUUGCGUCACAUAGAGGUUGCAGGCUAGAGGUCAAAUUGGAGCUGCAGCUGUCGGCCUACACCACAUCCACAGCGAAGCCGGAUCCAAGCCAUGUCUGCAACCUACACCACAGCUCAGGGCAACACCAGAUCCUUAACCCACUGAAUGAGGCCAGGGAUUGAACCUGAAUCCCCAUGGAUGCUAGUUGGAUUCUUAACCUGCUGAGCCACAGCAGGAACUCCUCAGGUGCUCACUUCUCAGACGAAGUUCAAGAGGCCGUUUCUUUUUUGUUACCAAUGAAACUCAAAAUGGAAACAAGACCCCAAAAUCCAGUUAUGUUAAGGUUGAGAAAAAGUAUUAAACCAUAUGUACGGAUGGCCAUGAGUUUAUAGGAUUGAUGUUUUAAGUCCAAGGAUAGAAAAAGGGCCUCUUAAAUGAGCAAGAGGAUACUUUUCCAUUUGUUUCUAAAGAUGGCUGGAGAGGAGUUCCCUUGUGGUGCAGCAAGUUAAGGAGCUGGCAUUGUCAUUGCAGUGGCUUGGUUGGUGCUGUGGCAUGGGUUUGAGUCCUAGCCCAGGAACUUAUAUCUGUAGGUGAGGCAAAAAAAUAAUAAUAAAGAUGAAUGGACAAAGUAUUAAUGGAUUUUUUAAAAUUAGCUCUUUAUUUUGGAAUCAUUUUAAGAUUCACA
RNAcentral lists this long non-coding RNA (6830 nucleotides) under Sus scrofa (pig). Its description in RNAcentral is "lncRNA (ENSSSCG00035068939.1)". Lineage: Eukaryota; Metazoa; Chordata; Mammalia; Artiodactyla; Suidae. The record is from RNAcentral.